UCCUACAAUUUCAUCUCAGGCU
RNAcentral lists this non-coding RNA (22 nucleotides) under Arabidopsis thaliana (thale cress). The record is from RNAcentral. Lineage: Eukaryota; Viridiplantae; Streptophyta; Magnoliopsida; Brassicales; Brassicaceae.